AAUCAUGAACUGCACAGAAUAUGAAAGCUCAAUGAGCCAGGUAACAAACCAGUCAAGAAGAACUGGAGGACAGGUUUCUUCAUGUACAUGAUGAUCACAUCUUACUCAAGCAGCAUGCAAAUGAGCAAGAGGAGAAAACUAAAAGCAUUCCUUGCCAAAACCUUUUUAACUAGAAGUUUGGAAUGAAUUUGCAGUAGAAGAACAUUGAAAAAACUCCAUGUAAACAAAAAACCUGCUUACAGGAAAGAAUAAACAAUCCAGAAAAAGAGAAUGAACUCUUGAACAAAAACUAUGAUAAGCUGCAUAAGUGUCUUCUGUAUGACCCAUGAACAGCAAUGGAAAUCAAAGGAACAGCAAAUGAAACUGCAAAUUGCUAAACUAGAGAUGGCUAUCAAAUCUGAUUUAGCAGACAAAAAUGCAAUCCUUGACAAGAUCAAAGUAGAAAGAGUGCUCAGUGAUACCCCAGAAGAUGAGCAGAACUUGAACAUGAAGAUACUGAUUAUGCUGAAUCUGUUUGAAAAAUAUAUUCCCGAAGCAAAGAAAUACCAUUGAACAAGCCAUUGGUGUAAAAACAGUACUGUCCUCUGAAGUCUGCUCUGAAGUUGACAGUUCACUGAGUGAUUUGUUCAAGAAUAUACAAAAUGCUUUGGAUCUCUAAGAGCAUCCAAUCUGUCCUAUAAUAGGUCUUUCAACAGGGUAAGUGAUGGAAGGUUUAUUCUGUGUUUUCCUUUCUCUAAACCUCUUCUGAGCUAUCCCAGCAGCCUAGAAGUUGCAACAUGAAGGAUCAUUGCAUAUCCUAGAGUACUUAUCCUAAUUAUUAAAUACAUAACGUUGCUAUUUGUCAGCUGUGUAAUUUGCUUUGAAAAGAUAUGCUGUCAAGAUUAUUUGUUUUUAUUCAAAUUCCUUCUAGAGUCAUGUUAGGCAGCCUCAGUGCUUUUUGUGCAGGACUGGGAAAGAGCCUCAUUUUUGACUUAGCAGCAUGUUUUAAUCACAGCAGUAGAGAUUCUGGCCCUCUGGGCUUACUUAGAUAUUGUGAAAGAGUGCAAUUUUAAAUCAUGUCAGCUAAUUUCUGUAACAUAGAAAUUUUAAAUACUGCUUUAAAACCCACAUACACAAAGAUGAAGGUAGUUAGUUUAGUCUAGGGGAAUUAUCAUCUUUGCUCAUACUUCACUAUUUUACAACACACAAAAGCUUGGAAUUUAAAUAAUUUUGCUCUGCAUAAACUGGAAAGAGAACUUGCUAUUUAAAUACUAAUAAUUGUCCAGGCUGACUUGGACCCAUCAUACACACAGUAUAGAAAAUGCAUUAAUUAGUAUAUUUUUUAUUUUAAAUUAUUUCUGACUAUGCAUAUAUGUUUUCAAUAGAGCUUGGAACACCUUUAUCUACACAUUGUGAAAAAUUGCUAAUUUAUGUACGCAAUUAUUAUACAAAUAGUUUUAUUUCAGAGUUAAUUCCAGCCCUGAUAGUUUCUUUGAUGUACAUUCUAGUUCUUAGAACGCUCAGUUUCCAGUAGGCUGAGUACCUGAAAAGUAAGCUUUAUUAUUUAUUUACCUCUUCCUUUUUUUUUUUUAAACAUACACUAGGAGCCUUUUAAUCUGUCCAAACGCUAAGGAAGAUUACCAGAACAAAAUGAAACCUUAAAUGAAACUGCUAAUGCUGUUUUGUAAUGUUUCCUUUCUAGUUUUUGAUUCACAAGAUGACAGUGCAGUAAUUGGAAAGCUCAGAGGAGCACUGGAAGCCCUCCAUGCCUGCCCUCAGCCGAGAGGGGAAUGCAAAGAUGACUACGAGGCAUGAAAGGAAGUUUGCCUACACAAGAGCCUUCUCCCAGUGUAAAUACAUGCUUGAUAGUGCAUCAAAGAUGAGAUCUUUGUAAUUCCUGCAGUAUAUUUAAUGUAUAAUUUAUAUGAAAAGGACGCUUGAUUUGUAGUUGUAAAGUUUUGUAUACUUUUCAGUCUGUUUGUUUUUAUAUUUCCCCCCUAAGGCUAAGAAUAUCACCACAAUGGACAACGCCUUGUAAAUAAUUAAUACCUACAUGAUUGAACGACGUGCUUUAUUUGCAUUUUUAAGAUUUUUUUUUCCUACAUAAAACAGUAAUAAAAAUGCAAGUCAAAAUUUUAAUUUUUAAUAA
This is a long non-coding RNA of Junco hyemalis (dark-eyed junco), 2128 nucleotides long. The record is from Ensembl. NCBI's taxonomy places the organism in Eukaryota, Metazoa, Chordata, Aves, Passeriformes, Passerellidae.